Molecule: long non-coding RNA, 5969 nt
Organism: Salvelinus fontinalis (brook trout)
Lineage: Eukaryota; Metazoa; Chordata; Actinopteri; Salmoniformes; Salmonidae
Exons: 3
Source: RefSeq, a predicted model, not a curated record
GCAAUCUCCGUAAAGGGCAGUCAGACGGCGAGGGGUAAAAAAUGGUUCUCGUAGAGCUCGCAAGGAGGUGUCAAACACGGACUUUGCGCCCCCGAGACAAUAGCAUUUACUGAUGAUGUUGAUGUCUUUGAAGAGUUUCCCCACAGGCUUCCUCCUCCAGCUUCUAGACAAGAUCAUCUCUGACAGUGCAACAACCUGUCCAGCAUUUGACAAAGAUGCGAAGUGAACGAGUGCCAGACUUCGUGGGGAAAUGUCCAGACCGCAGUUCUUCACGUGAGACAGAUCCACAUGUGGGGUAACAUCUCCCAAUUGUCACGCCCAGCUGUUGAGACCAGAGAUGGAUCAAGAGCUCAACUUUCUGCCAAUAUUUCGUCAGAGAACAAGACAGUCGACCUGCUCCAGGGGAUGUGUGGGGAUACAGGAGAGACUGGCAACUACAGACAGCUCCAGGCUGGAUCUGUCUGUCCCCUCUCUCUCUCCUCUAUCCUCAUCUAUCUGUCUCCACCACUGCUUGUAGACAACGAUGAUGAGAUCUGUCAAGUCUUGUCCUAUUAUUUUCAUAACUAGGGAUCGAAACAGAACACGUGUUGGCUAGUUGGUGGAAUCAUCCCCAGAAUCGGUCCCAUUUGCAUUUAAGUGUAUUCGCAGAACUCUCGGUAGGUUUUCUCUCCUGAAAUGUAUGAUCUCUGCUCUACUGCCUUUUAGUAAACCAAUAUAACCCUUUUGUCUGAACCAAGCAAUUUACCAUUAUAAUGAACAAAGUAUAGGUGUAGUUCCAGACGUACUGUGGACAGUGGGGUUAUUAUUCUGAAAGCCUCAUUGCCAACCUUGAACAAUGGAGGAAAGCAUAGUAGAUGCUGCAAACUGUAUCAAAGAUCUUGUAGCUCCCUAAUGUCGCGUGCCAGACUUUACUGCUACAGAGUAGGUUUGUUCUGCUAUAUUAUACCAGACUUUACUGCUACAGAGUAGGUUUGUUCUGCUAUAUUAUACCAGACUUUACUGCUACAGAGUAGGUUUGUUCUGCUAUAUAAUACCAGACUUUACUGCUACAGAGUAGGUUUGUUCUGCUAUAUAAUACCAGACUUUACUGCUACAGAGUAGGUUUGUUCUGCUAUAUAAUACCAGACUUUACUGCUACAGAGUAGGUUUGUUCUGCUAUAUAAUACCAGACUUUACUGCUACAGAGUAGGUUUGUUCUGCUAUAUUAUACCAGACUUUACUGCUACAGAGUAGGUUUGUUCUGCUAUAUCAGUGCUGUCCAACCCUCUUCCUGGAGAUCUACUGUCCUGUAGGUUUUCAGUCCAACCCUCUUCCUGGAGAUCUACUGUCCUGUAGGUUUUCAGUCCAACCCUCUUCCUGGAGAUCUACUGUCCUGUAGGUUUUCAGUCCAACCCUCUUCCUGGAGAUCUACUGUCCUGUAGGUUUUCAGUCCAACCCUCUUCCUGGAGAUCUACUGUCCUGUAGGUUUUCAGUCCAACCCUCUUCCUGGAGAUCUACCGUCCUGUAGGUUUACAGUCCAACCCUCUUCCUGGAGAUCUACCAUCCUGUAGGUUAUCAGUCCAACCCUCUUCCUGGAGAUCUACUGUCCUGUAGGUUUACAGUCCAACCCUCUUCCUGGAGAUCUACUGUCCUGUAGGUUUACAGUCCAACCCUCUUCCUGGAGAUCUACUGUCCUGUAGGUUUUCAGUCAACCCUAAUUUAACACACCUGAUUUUUCUUAUUAGUUGCUCAACAAGACCUUAACUAGUUGAAUCAGAUACGUUAAAUUGGGGUUGGACUGAAAACCUACAGGACGGUAGAUCUCCAGGAAGAGGGUUGGACUGAAAACCUACAGGACAGUAGAUCUCCAGGAAGAGGGUUGGACUGUAAACCUACAGGACAGUAGAUCUCCAGGAAGAGGGUUGGGCAACCCUGUACCUUAUCAUACCAGAUUCUGAGCCUCUCGUCUGGCUCUGUGAGAUUAGAUUAGUAGCCUCCCUUAUGAUUGUUGAUCUGUGGUGGAAAGAUGUUUUUAUUGCUCUACCUCAUUGCCAUGUUUUGCACCAGGACAGUUGGUGCUUUUCUCUAUGAUAUUAACCAGUGUAAAGACAACAUCAGUACACUAACCCAGGUCCUAGAGUUCGAGGCAAAUUAAUAUCAUCGUUUCCCUUAGACGAAGUAGGGACCAUAUAGCCCAACUUAACGUACUGUACCAAAAGUCAAAAGACGCAAUUCAUUCUUACAUACACCAUAUUGAUUCAUUCUUACACCAUAUUGAUUCAUUCUUACACCAUAUUGAUUCAUUCUUACACCAUAUUGAUUCAUUCUUACACCAUAUUGAUUCAUUCUUACACCAUAUUGAUUCAUUCUUACACCAUAUUGAUUCAUUUUUACACCAUAUUGAUUCAUUUUGACACCAUAUUGAUUCAUUUUGACACCAUAUUGAUUCAUUUUGACACCAUAUUGAUUCAUUCUGACACCAUAUUGAUUCAUUCUUACACCAUAUUGAUUCAUUCUUACACCAUAUUGAUUCAUUCUUACACCAUUUUGAUUCAUUCUUACAGCAUAUUGAUUCAUUCGAUAACCUUAUCAGAGUUUGUAUGAAUGGCACAGAGUCCCAGAUUAUGUUAUUUUAGUUAUAGGGCCGGAUUCCCAGACACCCAGCCCUUGUUAUAGGGCCGGAUUCCCAGACACACAGCCCUUGUUCUCGGGCCGGAUUCCCAAACACACAGCCCUUGUUCUCGGGCCGGAUUCCCAGACACACAGCCCUUGUUCUCGGGCCGGAUUCCCAGACACACAGCCCUUGUCGCGAAGAAGUUCCAUUGAAAAAGCUUUUUAGCAGCAGGUAACCUAGUGGUUAGAGCAUUGGACUAGUAACCGAAAGGUUGCUGGAUCGAAUCCCGGAGUUGACAAGGUAAAAAUCUGUCGUAAAAAUCUUAAAAUCCCUUGAGCAAGGCAGUUAACACACUGUUCCCCGGUAGGCCGUCAUUGUAAAUAAGAAUUUGUUCUUAACUGACUUGCCUAGUUAAAAUAAAUUGAAAUGGUCCAGAAUUAGGAUUAAUCUGUAUCUGGGAAACAGGCCCGUAGGUUUAUGUGUUGUGCCCAUAGAGUUAGUUAGGUUUAUGUGUUGAGCCCCAGGACCAUAGUUAGGUAGAUUUAUGUGUUGAGCCCCAGGACCAUAGUUAGGGUUAUGUGUUGAGCCCCAGGACCAUAGUUAGGUAGGUUUAUGUGUUGUGCCCCAGGACUAUAGUUAGGUAGGUUUAUGUGUUGAGCCCCAGGACCAUAGUUAGGUAGGUUUAUGUGUUGAGCCCCAGGACCAUAGUUAGGUAGGUUUAUGUGUUGAGCCCCAGGACCAUAGUUAGGUAGGUUUAUGUGUUGUGCCCAUUGAGUUAGGUAGGUUUAUGUGUUGUGCCCCAGGACCAUAGUUAGGUAGGUUUAUGUGUUGUGCCCCAGGACCAUAGUUAGGUAGGUUUAUGUGUUGAGCCCCAGGACCAUAGUUAGGUUUAUGUGUUGUGCCCCAGGACCAUAGUUAGGUAGGUUUAUGUGUUGAGCCCCAGGACCAUAGUUAGGUUUAUGUGUUGAGCCCCAGGACCAUAGUUAGGUCGGUUUAUGUUUUGAGCCCCAGGACCAUAGUUAGGUCGGUUUAUGUGUUGAGCCCCAGGACCAUAGUUAGGUAAGUUUAUGUGUUGAGCCCCAGGACCAUAGUUAGGUAGGUUUAUGUGUUGAGCCCCAGGACCAUAGUUAGGUAGGUUUAUGUGUUGAGCCCCAGGACCAUAGUUAGGUAGGUUUAUGUGUUGAGCCCCAGGACCAUAGUUGGGUAGGUUUAUGUGUUGAGCCCCAGGACCAUAGUUAGGUAGGUUUAUGUGUUGAGCCCCAGGCAACAUUUUCUAUUUCCUCUUUUUUUUUUUUUUUUUUUCUGGUCCACCACCUUCACUCCUUCCGGGAUAUGUGCAAUAUGGUAUCUUAUUACCUGUCAUGAUGUGGAUAUGAAUAUGUAAUAUUGUAUGAACAAGUGACAAGUUGUUUGAAAACAACAAAAUUACCAACGUCUUCCAUUAAGAAAUAUUGUAUAGUCUUCAUAUGCAUUAGCUUGUUUAGAGGGACUGUGGUGCCAAUAUUAUAACUAACCAUGCAUGAACGGUUGCUGGCGUUGCUUGCUUUUUGAAUAGGGGGCGGUAGCGUAGCCUAGUGGUUAGAGCGUUUGGAUUAGUAACCGAAAGGUUGCAAGUUCGAAUCCCCAAAAUCUGUCGUUCUGCCCCCUGAACAAGGCAGUUAAUCCACUGUUCCUAGGCCGUCAUUGUAAAAUAAGAUUUUUUUUUUCUUAACUGACUUGCCUAGUUAAAUAAAAUAAAAAAAGUAAACAUUGUUUUCUAAAAACAGAAGAUGUUUGGGAGAUUUGAUUAAAUUGUUUAAUUCUAUUAAGAGUGAAUUUCAUCACAGAUAUACAGUUAUCUAUUACUAUCUAAACUGUAUUCUAUGGAAUUAACACAGAAUCAGACAUAUUGACAUCCAGUGUGUUAGGCUGUGUUUACACAGGCAGCCCAAUUCUAAUCUUUUUCAACUAAUUGGUCUUUUGACCAAUCAGAUCAACUCUUUUGCCAAUAAUUGGACAACCUAUUAGAGUUGUGCUCCCUGUGGAAACAGCCUAUUGUAAUGGAUCAAUAAAAUAAUGAUCUAGAAUAUAUUUAGUAAAAAAGCAUCUGAUUAGACAUUUUAGAAUAAACAAUUCUGCACGAUUUUCAGUUAAUUUGAUCUAUUGUAAUCUCUGUUUUUUUUAAAGGAAUGUUUAGCAUAUUAGUAGCUAUAUAAUUAAUGUUUUUUUGUUUAGAGGAAAGACUAUGGUGUGUAAUACAGUAUGUUCCUAGUAAGAACCACCCAACAGUGUGUGAAGUAGCACAUGUUGAAACAGAAAGACUGACAUUUGAAUUGGCAAAACGGUCUUCUGGGGAAAUUCAAUAGUCAAGCUACUUUCCCUAUGGUACUAGUGCGGUACUUUUUGACCGGGGGCCCAUAGGGCCCUGGUUAAAAGUAGUGCACUAUAUAGGGAAUAGGGUGCCAUUUUUUUGGAAGUAUCCUCGGACUCGUACAGUAUCACUCUGUAAGAACUAAGAACCCCUGAUUUAGGAGGCCUGUGUUUGAUGCUUCUCUUCACGGUUUUACAUUCUGUUUAAAAUGGUGCACCGUUGUCCAUAUCAAUCGAACUUGUGUAUGCAUGUAUACAUGUGAAUUAUUAUGCAUCCUUCAUAUUAAUUGAACGUAAUAGAGCUGCCUCAAGGAGAAACGACUGAACAAAAAAAAUGCUGUAAAACUUUACAUGUUUGAAUUAAUUCACUACCAUCAUCCUGUCUUGAAUACUGUGGUUAAAAAAUAACAAAAUUGUAAUGCUACAUAAUGUGAAAAUGGGUAGGAUAGGUAAAUCUAGAAUAUAUUGAUCAUUUACAACCUAUAUUAAAUACGAAGAGAAAAUAUUAUGCAUGACUAAAAGUAAUCAAUGAUUUUGUAUUGCGGGCAAUAAUCAACUUGGUCAUUUACCUUGGAUCAAUAGAUCUAUGAUACUGAAAGUUUGAUAUUGUGGCGCUUUGAUAUAAGUUAGUAAAACGUUUUACAGGUCUUGAAUAACAGGGGAAUGGUUGUUGACAUCACCCUGAGCACAUUGGAACCACUUGUUCUGAUAAAAGAUGUACGAUGUUGAUCCACAGCCUGAAAUCCAGUCUGUCUGUUUACGCUAUCAUUCUACUUGCCAUUCCUUGGCGAUGACAAGGAGACGAAUGAUGGCACAAACAGACUGGAUUUCAGGCUGUUGAUCCAAGUAUUAACUAGUAAACAAACAGAAUGAGUUGCCUGUGCGUUUGUGGUGUGACUAUGCACUCCAGCGAGAGGCCCUGGGGCGUGCUGGAGCAACGGAGUCUCCCGUCUCGGUUGUGGAUUCAUUGAAGAAAUCCGCGUCAGAAAGGUAGCAAUAAAAAGCAACAUGGUGCCAAAAGCAAGAA